Molecule: non-coding RNA, 47 nt
Organism: Otolemur garnettii (small-eared galago)
Lineage: Eukaryota; Metazoa; Chordata; Mammalia; Primates; Galagidae
Source: Rfam
CAAAAGGCUCUUUUAAGAGCCACCUACUUCCAUCUGAAAAGUGCUGU